RNAcentral lists this long non-coding RNA (559 nucleotides) under Carica papaya (papaya). RNAcentral describes it as "long non-coding RNA (CPAP_LNC016661)". The record is from RNAcentral. Lineage: Eukaryota; Viridiplantae; Streptophyta; Magnoliopsida; Brassicales; Caricaceae.
UCAUGCACCAAAUGAUCCAAUUAGCACAACAUCCGAUGCUCUAAAUAUGAUACGUAUUGUGCCAGAUGAUUCAAAUCUAGACUCAGUAUUUGAUGGCUUCACUCUAGAGAUGCUGUUUGCGGAUCCAUUGGAUGAUGAGAACUUCAUUGUGGACAAUCUAAAUGAGGCGGUUAACGGUGAUAAUCCGAAAACAAUGCCGCCUCCUCUUGCAGGGAAUGUUCUAGGAAGCGGCCAAGGAUUUUAAUGACUAAGUUUGUUGAUUAUCUUGAAAUGAAUCAAGGGCUAGUUUGAAGAGUUUCAGUAUCGUGUCUUUUGUUUUUGUUUGUCUUGUCUUUCAAAUAAUGAUUUGGGAAUUUGGGAUUUUAAUUGGCUUGAGUUUUGUAUUUGCUUACUUUCAGGUGGUGUUCUUGUGUGUGCGUGUGUGUGUGUUUUUUUUUCUUUAUAAAUGUUGUCAUUGUUAGUCUUGGAUCGAGUUAAUAAGUAUAUGUGUGUUUCAUGAGUGUUGUUUAUUUUACAUUCUUGUUAAGUACAAUUCCGCAAAUCUUUAAAAAUAUUUAAU